RNAcentral lists this unclassified non-coding RNA (316 nucleotides) under Hevea brasiliensis (rubber tree). The record is from RNAcentral. Lineage: Eukaryota; Viridiplantae; Streptophyta; Magnoliopsida; Malpighiales; Euphorbiaceae.
UGGUUCGCAGAGGCUUGUACUAGGACAUCAGAUUUUGGGUAGUCUGUAUCUAUUUCUGCAUUUUUCUUAUGAAUUUUAUGAGAAAGGCUGAAUUAUGCAUUAUUUCAGAUUUAUUUAAUAUUUUCUCAUAUUUGUGCUUCGACUUAUGAUUAUGUGUUUUGGGUUGUUUACCUAUCAAUGGGUUAGAUAGGUGCCAUCAAAUCUCCAGUAUUUGGAUCAUGACUUGUCUGCAGAUAUUGUUCCCCUAUUGUGGAUAAACCAGUCCUAACAGAAAUCUGAGAUUGUGACAAGAUGUCUGCUUAAGCUGAAGGUGCUG